CAAACCAGUGGGUUGCCUCCCA
RNAcentral lists this non-coding RNA (22 nucleotides) under Arabidopsis thaliana (thale cress). The record is from RNAcentral. Lineage: Eukaryota; Viridiplantae; Streptophyta; Magnoliopsida; Brassicales; Brassicaceae.